UUGAUCCUGGCUCAGAACGAACGCUGGCGGCAGGCUUAACACAUGCAAGUCGAGCGCCCCGCAAGGGGAGCGGCAGACGGGUGAGUAACACGUGGGAACGUACCCUUUACUACGGAAUAACGCAGGGAAACUUGUGCUAAUACCGUAUGUGCCCUUUUGGGGAAAGAUUUAUCGGUAAGGGAUCGGCCCGCGUUGGAUUAGCUAGUUGGUGGGGUAAAGGCCUACCAAGGCGACGAUCCAUAGCUGGUCUGAGAGGAUGAUCAGCCACAUUGGGACUGAGACACGGCCCAAACUCCUACGGGAGGCAGCAGUGGGGAAUAUUGGACAAUGGGCGCAAGCCUGAUCCAGCCAUGCCGCGUGAGUGAUGAAGGCCCUAGGGUUGUAAAGCUCUUUCACCGGAGAAGAUAAUGACGGUAUCCGGAGAAGAAGCCCCGG
RNAcentral lists this ribosomal RNA (435 nucleotides) under denitrifying bacterium W83a. RNAcentral describes it as "bacterial SSU rRNA". It matches the Rfam family "Bacterial small subunit ribosomal RNA", at positions 13 to 496 of the family's 1533-position model. Lineage: Bacteria; Pseudomonadati; Pseudomonadota; Alphaproteobacteria. The record is from RNAcentral.